Molecule: unclassified non-coding RNA, 593 nt
Filed under: Hevea brasiliensis (rubber tree)
Lineage: Eukaryota; Viridiplantae; Streptophyta; Magnoliopsida; Malpighiales; Euphorbiaceae
Source: RNAcentral
UACACCAUCCACCUCCCUCAAACACAAACAAGAAUUUAACCCCCAACACACACAGUUGAAUCAUAAAGCGCAUAAACAACCCCAGCUAAAACAUAGUUAUGCAAAAUAUCUGAAGUGAUUGCUUACAUCUAUUUCCUGUAUAGUUGAAUUGAAUAUCUUAUUCUUGAAUGUUUAUGCUGUACAAUUUUUUCAGCUAAGUUUCUGCUUGGAUGCUUAAAAUAAAAUGGGAUAAAAUGUCAAUUUGCUCCUCAUCUUGACAGUAAAAUUUAAUUAAAAACAAAACAUAAAAUUUGGGUUAAUUAAAUUGUGAAAUUGGUAAAUUAAAUUAAUUUACUCUAAAUUCAGGUCUGUGUAAAAAACGCAGUAAAGUGGUAUUUUAACAUUUUACAAUUUUCUCUCUAAAACUUGUAAAAAGCUACAAAUUGGUCUGUCUCUUUAUGCUCUUUAUAUCUCUACUCUUUCUACCUUCGUCCAUCUCUCUAUGUUCCCUCCCAAAAAACAAUGGUAGAAAACAAAAUUCAUUUGAAAAUUAAAAUAAAAAAUCAUCAAUUUAUUUUUGUCUCUCUCAAUCUCACCUGAAAUUUAAAAAUCAA